RNAcentral lists this transfer RNA (67 nucleotides) under Luperomorpha xanthodera. Its description in RNAcentral is "tRNA-Ser". The record is from RNAcentral. Lineage: Eukaryota; Metazoa; Arthropoda; Insecta; Coleoptera; Chrysomelidae.
AAGAUAAGUUAUUCAAGAGUAAGCUUCUAACUUAACUCUUAAGCAAUGAAAUUUUGUUUUUAUCUUU